GACGAACGCUGGCGGCGUGCCUAAUACAUGCAAGUAGAACGCUGAAGGAGGAGCUUGCUUCUCUGGAUGAGUUGCGAACGGGUGAGUAACGCGUAGGUAACCUGCCUGGUAGCGGGGGAUAACUAUUGGAAACGAUAGCUAAUACCGCAUAAGAGUAGAUGUUGCAUGACAUUUACUUAAAAGGUGCAAUUGCAUCACUACCAGAUGGACCUGCGUUGUAUUAGCUAGUUGGUGAGGUAACGGCUCACCAAGGCAACGAUACAUAGCCGACCUGAGAGGGUGAUCGGCCACACUGGGACUGAGACACGGCCCAGACUCCUACGGGAGGCAGCAGGAGGGAACCUUCGGCAAUGGACGGAAGGCUGACCGAGCAACGCCGCGUGAGGGAAGAAGGGUUUCGGAUCGUAAAGCUCUGUUGUAAGAGAAGAACGAGUGUGAGAGUGGAAAGUUCACACUGUGACGGUAUCUUACCAGAAAGGGACGGCUAACUACGUG
This 495-nucleotide ribosomal RNA is filed under the name uncultured bacterium. RNAcentral describes it as "partial 16S ribosomal RNA". It matches the Rfam family "Bacterial small subunit ribosomal RNA", at positions 28 to 507 of the family's 1533-position model. The record is from RNAcentral.